AUACCUGUCACUUGAAAGUCUUGUUAAAAUCCAGAUUCCCAUUCAGUAAGUCUGAGGCGGGGACCAAGAGUCUACAUUUCUUGUAAGCUCUUAGGUAGUGCUGUA
This 105-nucleotide microRNA precursor is filed under the name Marmota monax (woodchuck). The record is from RNAcentral. Lineage: Eukaryota; Metazoa; Chordata; Mammalia; Rodentia; Sciuridae.